CAGGGGGAACUUCGAGAGGUAUUAUUGCUGCCCCGACGGUACGUGGGAACCGUUCUUCAGCUGGCCCACACCCACCUGGGAAUGGAGAAGACCCGGGAACGGAUCGCCGCCCGGUUCCAUUGGCCCGGGAUGAGGAGAGCCGUGGAAGAUUACUGUCGCAGUCAAAUGACUGCCCCAAAGGCACACUUCUGAAACCCACUGGUCCCCCUACCAAUCAUCAGGGUGCCCUUUGAACGCAUCGCCAUGGACAUAGUGGGACCCCUGGUAAAAACAGCACGAGAACACCGGUACAUCCUGGUAAUAGUGGACUAUGCCACCCGGUAUCCCAAGGCCAUUCCCGGGCGGCGGUAUCCAAGGGAAUCGCCUGGGAGCUGUUCCACCUCUUUAGCCAGAUCUGGACCUCCGUCUUCCACCCGCAGACGGAUGGGCUCGUCGAGCGGUUCUAUAAAACGCUCAAACAAAUGGGGAGCCCAGCCCCGAGAGUUCCAGGUGGGAAACAGGGUGUUGGUCUUAAUCCCCACGGCCGAAAGUAAGUUCCUGGCAACAUGGCACAGGCCAUACGAUGUGAUCGAGAAGCUGGGACCUGUCAAUUACCGCGUAUGGCAACCGAGAGACGGAAACCCAACAGAUUUACCACAUGAACCUGUUGAAGAAUUUUUGUACUGGCCCCCCGUGGGAAUCGAACCCACAACCCUGGCGUUGCACACACCAUGCUGGCGUUGCAAACACCAUGCUCUACCAACUGAGCCACAGUGAGAGGACAGCCUUGGCCGUGUUAUGGUCGGGACCCAGGACGCCAACGGUACCAGUGGUGGUCCCGAGCAAUGAGGACCUCGACCCAGCCCAGAAGCAAGAGCUCAGGGAGCUCGAUGAUCAGAACACGGCGGUGUUCUCCGAGAAGCCGGGCCGCACCACCCUCAUUGAACACAUCCGUACCCGGCCCAGCGAAACGGUACGAAAGAGGCCAUAUCAGAUUCCGGAGGCCAUGAAACAGGAAGUGAAGGCUAUGCUGAGGAUGGGGGUCAUUGAAGUCUCACAGUGCGUGGUGCAGCCCCAUCGUGUUGGUGCCCA
This 1071-nucleotide transfer RNA is filed under the name Salmo salar (Atlantic salmon). RNAcentral's name for it is "lncRNA (ENSSSAG00000084871.1, ENSSSAG00020058991.1)". The record is from RNAcentral. Lineage: Eukaryota; Metazoa; Chordata; Actinopteri; Salmoniformes; Salmonidae.